Molecule: ribosomal RNA, 253 nt
Filed under: uncultured bacterium
Lineage: Bacteria
Description: partial 16S ribosomal RNA
Rfam family: Bacterial small subunit ribosomal RNA
Source: RNAcentral
UACGGAGGGUGCGAGCGUUAAUCGGAAUAACUGGGCGUAAAGGGCACGCAGGCGGGCUUUUAAGUGAGAUGUGAAAUCCCCGGGCUUAACCUGGGAAUAGCAUUUCAGACUGGGAGUCUAGAGUACUUUAGGGGGGGGUAGAAUUCCACGUGUAGCGGUGAAAUGCGUAGAGAUGUGGAGGAACACCGGUGGCGAAGGCGGCUUCCUGGUCUGUGACUGACGCUGAGGCGCGAAAGCGUGGGGAGCAAACAGG